UCAGAGCUAGGUUGGAGGUGAGAGUGCUGCCCCUCGGGAUCUCCUCUCCCUACUGGGAAGGCAGAGAGGGGCUCCCCCUCCGGUCCUUCUGCCACCAGCACAGCAAGCUUUGGUGGGGCCAUUUCAUCUCACAGCCAGCCCCUGCCUUGGUCCCAGGCUAUGUGAUGAGAUGCUCAGAGACCUUCAACACACAGAGAGUGGACACCUCGCCUAGUACAGCCUGUGUACUAAGCUCUGGGGUUACUGAGUAAAUGAAAUACAGUGUCUUCCUGGUUGUGGAGAGUAGGAGCAACACACAGAUUGUGCUGGGGAGCAAGGGUAACGGAAUGCAGAGCUGGUCCAGGAGGCACAGAGGGCAGGUCCCAGCCUCUGGGUGAGAGUACAGACCCCAGAGGGCAGAAGGGCAGGCUGUGGAUCCUGUGGGGACCACCAUCAUCACCCAGCCCGGUCUCAGCCCAGAGUUCCCAGACCCCCCCUCACUCCCUCCAUCCCUUCCUGGGAAGCCUGUCAUGGGCAACAGCCAACAGGAAAAAGAAAACCCUCCCUCUCAGUGCUCCCUCACAGAGCCUGUUUCUGGUCUGGGGACACAGGCCCCCCUCCAAGGAACCAGCCAAUUGGCCGGGCUGGGGUGAUUGACACUCUGCCCCUCCGGAAAACCCAGAGUGACUUAGCUAAACAAAGCUCCCAGCAGGCUGACCAGGUUAUCCUGUCCCGUGACCAACAGUCGCUCACACCAGCCCAGUUUCCAGAUCACAUGUGUUUACCUUCAUGGACUGCCUACCACGUGGAAGGUAUUAUGCCGGGAGGGGCUUACAACAUCCCUCAAAGACAGGCAGGGUGUCAGGUUAUCACCUAACACUGCAGAACUAACCACCCAAAACACAUUUACUUUGCCUGGGAAUGUGCAGAGUGAGCAGGGCUCAGCAGGGCCAGCUUGUCUCUGCUCCACUGGGCAUCAGCUCGAAGGCCGAGUUCAGUCAUCACCUAGGGCCACUCACGUGCCUGGUUCUGGCCUGGUAAGAGCCAACGGCUGGGGGCAGGAACAGCUGGGACUCCUCACACACACCUUUCUCCAUGGCAGCUGCUGGCAUGUAAAAAGCUACAAGUGGCCACUCCUAACAACAGGUAAAGAGCUGGAAACACUGAACACUCAACAAUCCUUCCUAGAUCCUUCAGAGGUGGGGUCACCGGGCAAACCAUGGCCCCCAGAACCAGAGAGACAGACAGGUACCACCAUGGUGCUGGGUCAAUAGGACAUCACAUGGAAGUAAAGGAGGAGUCCCCUUCCUGCUCCCCAUGUGGAUGGCCUCCUGGGGCCUGAAAGGACAAAACCAGAACCCUCAAAGCAGCCACCGGUCUCCUCAUGCCCAGGAGCAGACUGGCCAGGGUCCCAGGGCAGCCACACCGCAGAACAAGAGUCCUCUUGGCCUUGACACAGCGAGGGGUAGUAUGGUGGGUCCCAGCCCUCCUUUCCUUCCGAUCACAUGUGAGGGAGGAAUGUGAACAUUGCCAGCCCGCAGGGGAAAGAGGGGUUGAAAAGUCCUUUGGCUCUGCAAUAAAUAACCCCCACUCAUC
This is a long non-coding RNA of Neofelis nebulosa (Clouded leopard), 1575 nucleotides long. RefSeq lists it as uncharacterized. The record is from RefSeq and is a predicted model, not a curated record. The transcript is spliced from 3 exons. NCBI's taxonomy places the organism in Eukaryota, Metazoa, Chordata, Mammalia, Carnivora, Felidae.